AUGAAACAGGGACAGGAGGAGAAUGGAGAUAAGUCAGGAAACAAUGAAUUUAAAGAGGAAGCUCAGGUGGUUCGCUCUAAACUCUCCCAGCAAACUACAUUUAAAAAACAGGAUAGUCAAAAAUCCACUCUAGAUAUUUUUAAAACACCUAGCAAUCAAAUAAAACAAGUAAAAAGAGUUGAUCCCUCAGGAGGAUUUGCCAGGGCUGACCGCAGGGAGGAGAAGGCAAGAUUGAUUUAUAGCAGUGAUAAAGAGGAGAGUGAGAAUAAGACAGAUAACUUCAAAAUUCCGGCUACAUUUAUUGGAGAAUUGGAGCGUCAGGAGCCUGUUGAAGCUCAGACAGAAUUAUAUGAAAAGGAUCAGGGUUCAAGUACGGGAAAUUGUGAGUUAGAAUUGUGGGAGGAAAGUGAGAUGGCACAUGGGUUCCUUACGAGGUGUAAAGAGGAAUGGAUGUGUGCCACAGGGUGCCAUCCUGGCUCAGAUAAUCUACACACCACUUUAUUCCGUCAGGCCAUAAUUUUAGGACUUCCACAAUUAGUGAAAGAAGCCAUGGAAGGAAAUCCUGACCUUCCAGGCAGCACAGCAGAUGUCUGGGAGAGACAUCUUUCACACCACAUCAACACAUUUAAAGCUAAACAACAGGGAAAGAAAGAGGAGGUGGUGACAGCGCAGGAACAGCUCCUAAAAAUACAGUUAGAUGAAGCACUGAAAAAGCUUAAUGAUAAACAAAAGGAAGAGAAACAGAUGGUUCAGCAGUUUCCUCGGCAGGUGCAGCCAGAUCAGUUAUGUCCGCAACAGGAUUUUGCUCUGAUAAACCCGUAUUGGGUCAGUCCAAGGGGAGGCAUGUGUGGGAGACACGGCGGGCAGGGAUACGGCUUGAUAGGCGGGGUACUUAGGCCGAGAUCAGUGUCACGCCUGCAAAGGGUAUGGUCAUUGGCAAAGGGACUGUCCAUAUCGCAACUAUCCGGAGGUACCAGGCAGUGUUCCACCAUCUCAUGGAAUUUAUCACUGGGGCCGAUCUCAUCUGACACCGUCGAGCUUGUGGGGCUCUCAGGGAGACCGGAGAGACUGACAGACCAGGAUGGACAAGAUUUUAACUGCACCACACAUAACAUACACACAUGA
Molecule: long non-coding RNA, 1125 nt
Filed under: Takifugu rubripes (torafugu)
Lineage: Eukaryota; Metazoa; Chordata; Actinopteri; Tetraodontiformes; Tetraodontidae
Description: lncRNA (ENSTRUG00000030818.1)
Source: RNAcentral